Coffea eugenioides is the source of this 2140-nucleotide RNA transcript. It is a transcript of the gene named bZIP transcription factor 46-like, with no coding region annotated. The transcript has 4 exons. The record is from RefSeq and is a predicted model, not a curated record. NCBI's taxonomy places the organism in Eukaryota, Viridiplantae, Streptophyta, Magnoliopsida, Gentianales, Rubiaceae.
CAUCCCCUCUUGAGAUCUCCUAGACAGACACUUGUCGCUAACUAAGACCCAUCGCAGCCAAAAAAAAUUAUGUCCCAGAAAUUGUUGUAUAACUCCCAGGUAAACAGACAACGUUAAAUUUAAACCAAAAAAAAUGAAACGCGGAUUCUUAUACUCCUCCUAAUGUCUCUCUGUCUCUAGCAAAUUUCUCCCUGUUUUUAUCGUCUUCAUAUACUUCUGCUUAUCUGCUGAUUGCUUUGCUUUACUUAAAGAAAGUUCCGACCUUUCAGAUGAUGCGUAAUUGUUUCUAGCUAUAUCUCAAUAUUUUGUUGCCUUUUGUUGUCAUUAUCAGUUGUUCCUGGAGUUGAAUUUUUGUUGGGGUUGUUGAAAGUUAGUGGUUGAAGUGCGUUUGGCAUAAAGGUUAUGAUGUUCGAGGGAUGAAGUUCAUUUUUUUUUUCCUUCUGUUUAUACUGUGUCAUAUGUCUUGAAAUUCAUGUUCUGAUGUAAAUUUGGAGUGUUCUUGUGAAGGAAAGUGCGAUUGCAGUAGAAAUUUUGGGUUAUCUUUAGUUCUGUGUUGUUCUGCAGUUUUGGUCUGAAGUUCUAUAUUUAGUUUGAUCAUGUAAAGCUUUGUUUGCUAGUUCAAUCAUUCAUAUGUAUGAUAUGUUAUGAAAGGGUAUUCGAUAUGGUCCAUUCGAGAGAUAGAAGGGAAUCAAUUUGAUCUGAUUGGAUUUUUUGUGAUUCCAUAUUACAGUGAGCUUAGGAGUAGAAUUGGGGCAUUGUUAGGUAGAUAUAUUUAGUGAAAUGGGGAGUCAUUUCAAUUUCAAGAACUUUGGGAAUGAGCAAAUGGAGGGUAGUGGGGGAGGAAGGCCGCCAGGGAACUUUCCCUUGGCACGGCAGCCGUCCGUAUAUUCGUUGACUUUUGAUGAGUUUCAGACCACUAUGGGUGGGGUUGGGAAAGAUUUUGGCUCAAUGAACAUGGAUGAGUUGUUAAAGAAUAUUUGGAGUGCAGAGGAGUUCCAGACUAUGGGUCCUGCUAGUCAGGAUGUGGGUGCUUCUGGUGGGCAUUUGCAGAGGCAGGGCUCAUUAACAUUGCCAAGGACAUUGAGUCAGAAAACUGUGGAUCAGGUGUGGAGGGACAUAUCGAAAGAGUUCACUGUUGGUGCGAAGGAUACUACUGGUGUGGGUAUUACAACUAUACCUCAGAGGCAACAGACUUUAGGGGAGAUGACACUGGAGGAUUUCUUACUUAGAGCUGGUGUUGUAAGGGAGGAUGCUCAAUUGGCAGGGAAGCCUAAUAUUACUGGACUACUUGGAGAUUUGUCACGAACUGCAAAUAAUCAGGCUUUUGGGUUUGGAUACCAGCAGCCGGAGAGGAACACUGGGUUGGUUAGUGGAAGGGUGCUGGAGAGUAGUAAUCAAAUGGCUAUGGAAUCUGCUAAUUUGCCGUUGAAUGUAAAUGGAGUCAGAUUUACACAGCAACAGUUAGGGGCAACACAAACACAGCAGACUCAACAACUGCCACAACAACAGCACCAGCCUCUAUUUCCCAAGCUACCCGGUUUGCCUUAUGCCACUCCCAUUGCUAUACCAAAUAGCGCUCAGUUAGGUAGUCCUGGAGUUAGGGGUGGGAUUGUUGGACUUUCUGAUCCGGCAACGAGUGCUAGUUUGGUUCAAAAUGGUGCGCUACAGGGUGCAGGUGUGGGGAUGGUUAAUUUAGGUGCUGGGGCUGUCACUAUUGCUGCUGGCUCUCCAGCAGUUUCGUCAGAUGGGCUUGCGAAGAGCAAUGGAGAUACUUCUUCUGUCUCUCCAGUCCCUUAUGUGUUCAAUAGUGGAUUACGGGGUAGGAAAUGCAGUGCUUUGGAGAAGGUUGUUGAGAGGAGGCAGAGGAGAAUGAUAAAGAACAGGGAGUCAGCAGCAAGAUCACGAGCCCGUAAGCAGAUGUUGAAUUCCCCAAAAUUAUCAAAGAUUCGAUACCUAUGCGGUAUGAUAGUGAUCUAAUCUGACAAGAGAUGAAAGAUUAUGAGAAGUUAUACUUCGUGAGAAGCGUUAAGGAUCAUGUUUACUACGAGGCCUAUACCAUGGAAUUGGAAGCUGAAGUUGCAAAACUGAAAGAAGAUAACCAAGAAUUGCAGAAGAAACAGGCUGAAAUAAUGGAAAUGCA